UACGUAGGGUCCGAGCGUUGUCCGGAGUUACUGGGCGUAAAGCGCGCGCAGGCGGCUCGUCAAGUCUGGCGUGAAAGCCCCCGGGCUCAACCGGGGAGGGUCGUCGGAGACUGGCGAGCUUGAGGGCGGUAGGGGCUGGUGGAAUUCCCGGUGUAGUGGUGAAAUGCGCAGAUAUCAGGAAGAACACCCGUGGCUAAGGCGGCUCUCUAGUACGGUACUGACGCUGAGACGCGAAAGCGUGGGGAGCGAACAGG
This 254-nucleotide ribosomal RNA is filed under the name uncultured bacterium. RNAcentral describes it as "partial 16S ribosomal RNA". It matches the Rfam family "Bacterial small subunit ribosomal RNA", at positions 524 to 776 of the family's 1533-position model. The record is from RNAcentral.